Molecule: ribosomal RNA, 113 nt
Filed under: Lactiplantibacillus plantarum
Lineage: Bacteria; Bacillati; Bacillota; Bacilli; Lactobacillales; Lactobacillaceae
Description: partial 16S ribosomal RNA
Rfam family: Bacterial small subunit ribosomal RNA
Source: RNAcentral
CAAAGUCGGUGGGGUAACCUUUUAGGAACCAGCCGCCUAAGGUGGGACAGAUGAUUAGGGUGAAGUCGUAACAAGGUAGCCGUAGGAGAACCUGCGGCUGGAUCACCUCCUUU